RNAcentral lists this ribosomal RNA (551 nucleotides) under uncultured Diversispora. RNAcentral's name for it is "SSU rRNA". It matches the Rfam family "Eukaryotic small subunit ribosomal RNA", at positions 548 to 1098 of the family's 1831-position model. Lineage: Eukaryota; Fungi; Glomeromycota; Glomeromycetes; Diversisporales; Diversisporaceae. The record is from RNAcentral.
UUGGAGGGCAAGUCUGGUGCCAGCAGCCGCGGUAAUUCCAGCUCCAAUAGCGUAUAUUAAAGUUGUUGCAGUUAAAAAGCUCGUAGUUGAACCUCGGGGUCUACCCAUUGGUCAGGCUUAAUUGUCUGCACUGGUGAGAUGGAUCUCUACCUCCUGAGGAACUUUCAUGCCAUUCAUUUGGUGUGAUGGGAAAUCAGGACUGUUACUUUGAAAAAAUUAGAGUGUUUAAAGCAGACUAUCGUCUGAAUACAUUAGCAUGGAAUAAUGAAAUAGGACGGACUGAUUCUAUUUCGUUGGUUUCUAGGAUCACCGUAAUGAUUAAUAGGGAUAGUUGGGGGCAUUAGUAUUCAAUUGUCAGAGGUGAAAUUCUUGGAUUUAUUGAAGACUAACUACUGCGAAAGCAUUUGCCAAGGAUGUUUUCAUUAAUCAAGAACGAAAGUUAGGGGAUCGAAGACGAUCAGAUACCGUCGUAGUCUUAACCAUAAACUAUGCCGACUAGGGAUCGGACGAAGUUAAUUUUAUAAUGACGCGUUCGGCGCCUUACGGGAAAC